This 47-nucleotide non-coding RNA is filed under the name Schistosoma mansoni. The record is from RNAcentral. Lineage: Eukaryota; Metazoa; Platyhelminthes; Trematoda; Strigeidida; Schistosomatidae.
AUCCAGCUGACGCGUACCAAAAAUAGGACGAAACGCGCGUUAUGGAU